This 500-nucleotide ribosomal RNA is filed under the name uncultured bacterium. RNAcentral describes it as "partial 16S ribosomal RNA". It matches the Rfam family "Bacterial small subunit ribosomal RNA", at positions 30 to 523 of the family's 1533-position model. The record is from RNAcentral.
AUUGAACGCUGGCGGCAUGCCUUACACAUGCAAGUCGAACGGUAACAGGUCUUUCGGGAUGCUGACGAGUGGCGAACGGGUGAGUAAUACAUCGGAACGUGCCUAGUAGUGGGGGAUAACUACUCGAAAGAGUGGCUAAUGCCGCAUGAGAUCUAUGGAUGAAAGCAGGGGACCUUCGGGCCUUGUGCUACUAGAGCGGCCGAUGGCAGAUUAGGUAGUUGGUGAGAUAAAAGCUUACCAAGCCUACGAUCUGUAGCUGGUCUGAGAGGACGUUCAGCCACACUGGGACUGAGACACGGCCCAGACUCCUACGGGAGGCAGCAGUGGGGAAUUUUGGACAAUGGGCGCAAGCCUGAUCUAGCAAUGCCGCGUGCAGGAUGAAGGCCUUCGGGUUGUAAACUGCUUUUGUACGGAACGAAAAGUCUUGGGUUAAUACCCUGGGAUCAUGACGGUACCGUAAGAAUAAGCACCGGCUAACUACGUGCCAGCCGCCGCGGUAA